This 342-nucleotide unclassified non-coding RNA is filed under the name Hevea brasiliensis (rubber tree). Lineage: Eukaryota; Viridiplantae; Streptophyta; Magnoliopsida; Malpighiales; Euphorbiaceae. The record is from RNAcentral.
AGAAAACGCAAUCUGGAGCUCUUGGUAAUAAGCUAUUCUCCCUUCUUCCCAAUUCUUGUUACCCAGAAAAGGGGGGAAAAUCAUACCUUCAUUCCAAGAAGCUCUUAUAAUUAAAAAAAAAAAAAUGAUUUCGGAGUUUUUUUUUAAUAGUUAGUUUCAAGGUUUUUGUUAAUAUAUAUAUAUUGAAAAAAUUAAUCCUUAGUUUCAAGGAUUUUGUUAACAUUUUUUUACAAUUAGCUUUGGCUGGGACUCCAUUGCGUUAAAUAAAUCCAUCCAGUUGUGUUUCUUUGAUAAUAAUAUCAGAGUACAUAAAUCUACCAAAAAAAAAAAAAAAUUAGAGUA